GACAUAGGUAGUAUGGGGUAGAGAAAUUUACUCCUUCAGUUCGGCUGGUUACCAUACAGGUGUAGCAUGGCUGUCGUCAGCUCCUGUCGUGAGAUGUUGGGUUAAGUCCCGCAACGAGCGCAACCCUCAUCCCUUACUGCCAUCAGGUUAUGCUGGGCACUUCAGGGAAACUGCCGGUGUCAAGCCGGAUGAAGGCGGGGAUGACGUCAAGUCAUCAUGGCCCUUACGGCCUGGGCUACACACGUGCUACAAUGGCGGUGACAAUGCGCAGCUAACCCGCGAGGGCAAGCUAAUCGCUAAAAACCGUCUCAGUUCGGAUUGGACUCUGCAACUCGAGUCCAUGAAGCUGGAAUCGCUAGUAAUCGUAGAUCAGCACGCUACGGUGAAUACGUUCCCGGGUCUUGUACACACCGCCCGUCACACCAUGGAAGUCGGUUCUGCCUGAAGUCGCUUAUGGCGCCCACGGCAGGGUCGGUGACUGGGGUGAAGUCGUAACAA
This 498-nucleotide ribosomal RNA is filed under the name uncultured Pseudomonadota bacterium. Its description in RNAcentral is "bacterial SSU rRNA". It matches the Rfam family "Bacterial small subunit ribosomal RNA", at positions 983 to 1494 of the family's 1533-position model. The record is from RNAcentral. Lineage: Bacteria; Pseudomonadati; Pseudomonadota.